This is a long non-coding RNA of Hyalella azteca, 168 nucleotides long. RefSeq lists it as uncharacterized. The record is from RefSeq and is a predicted model, not a curated record. The transcript has 3 exons. Lineage: Eukaryota; Metazoa; Arthropoda; Malacostraca; Amphipoda; Hyalellidae.
GAGUUCCGGUCGUCACGCGACGCCUGAAUUGUUGAUGAUGGCGAAAUUGAAACGUGUGCGGCCCAAGAAAGCGCGGCAGCCGCGGUCUUACGUCAAUUUUGACCAUAAGAGUUGAUUCGUGCAGUGCUGGGCGACACGUAGUUUUGAAUAAAUAAAAGUUUAUCUGAA